AAACUGGGAUUAGAUACCCCACUAUGCCUAGCCAUAAACUUUAAUGCUAAUGUACAACUAGCAUCCGCCAGGGAACUACGAGCACCAGCUUAAAACCCAAAGGACUUGGCGGUGCCUCAGACCCCCCUAGAGGAGCCUGUUCUA
This 144-nucleotide ribosomal RNA is filed under the name Engraulis encrasicolus (European anchovy). Its description in RNAcentral is "partial small subunit ribosomal RNA". It matches the Rfam family "Bacterial small subunit ribosomal RNA", at positions 769 to 948 of the family's 1533-position model. The record is from RNAcentral. Lineage: Eukaryota; Metazoa; Chordata; Actinopteri; Clupeiformes; Engraulidae.